AGCGAACGCUGGCGGCAGGCUUAACACAUGCAAGUCGAGCGGGCGUAGCAAUACGUCAGCGGCAGACGGGUGAGUAACGCGUGGGAACGUACCUUUUGGUUCGGAACAACACAGGGAAACUUGUGCUAAUACCGGAUAAGCCCUUACGGGGAAAGAUUUAUCGCCGAAAGAUCGGCCCGCGUCUGAUUAGCUAGUUGGUGAGGUAACGGCUCACCAAGGCGACGAUCAGUAGCUAGUCUGAGAGGAUGAUCAGCCACAUUGGGACUGAGACACGGCCCAAACUCCUACGGGAGGCAGCAGUGGGGGAAUAUUGGACAAU
This 319-nucleotide ribosomal RNA is filed under the name uncultured bacterium. Its description in RNAcentral is "bacterial SSU rRNA". It matches the Rfam family "Bacterial small subunit ribosomal RNA", at positions 29 to 372 of the family's 1533-position model. The record is from RNAcentral.